This 463-nucleotide ribosomal RNA is filed under the name uncultured bacterium. RNAcentral describes it as "SSU rRNA". It matches the Rfam family "Bacterial small subunit ribosomal RNA", at positions 26 to 518 of the family's 1533-position model. The record is from RNAcentral.
AGGAUUAACGCUGGCGGCGUGCCUAACACAUGCAAGUCGAACGAGGUAGCAAUACCUAGUGGCAGACGGGUGAGUAACGCGUGGUCAACCUACCGUUGAGUGGGGGAUAACUAGCCGAAAGGUUAGCUAAUACCGCAUACGUCUCCGAGGGGCAUCCCUUGGCGAUAAAAGGAGCAAUCCGCUCGAUGACGGGACCGCGUCCCAUUAGCUAGAUGGUGGGGUAACGGCCUACCAUGGCACCGAUGGGUAGCUGGUUUGAGAGAGCGACCAGCCACACUGGGACUGAGAAACGGCCCAGACUCCUACGGGAGGCAGCAGUGAGGAAUUUUCCGCAAUGGGCGCAAGCCUGACGGAGCGACGCCGCGUGUGGGAAGAAGGCCUUCGGGUCGUAAACCACUGUCGAAGGGGACGAUAAUGACGGUACCCUUGGAGGAAGCCCGGCUAACUACGUGCCAGCAGCCGC